CCUACGGGAGGCAGCAGUGAGGAAUAUUGGUCAAUGGCCGUAAGGCUGAACCAGCCAAGUCGCGUGAAGCAAGAAGGAUCUAUGGUUUGUAAACUUCUUUUAUAGGGGAAUAAAGGUAUCCACGUGUGGAUAUUUGAAUGUACCCUAUGAAUAAGAAUCGGCUAACUCCGUGCCAGCAGCCGCGGUAAUACGGAGGAAGCGAGCGUUAUCCGGAUUGAUUGGGUUUAAAGGGGGCGGAGGUUGCUUUUUAAGUCAGCGGUGAAAGUUUGUGGCUCAACCAUAAAAUUGCCGUUGAAAAUGGAAGACUUGAGUGUAUUUGAGGUAGGCGGAAUGCGUGGUGUAGCGGUGAAAUGCAUAGAUAUCACGCAGAACUCCGAUUGCGAAGGCAGCUUACUAAGCCAUAACUGACACUGAAGCACGAAAGCGUGGGGAUCAAACAGGAUUAGAUACCCCUGUAGUC
RNAcentral lists this ribosomal RNA (460 nucleotides) under uncultured bacterium. RNAcentral describes it as "partial 16S ribosomal RNA". It matches the Rfam family "Bacterial small subunit ribosomal RNA", at positions 338 to 795 of the family's 1533-position model. The record is from RNAcentral.